AAAAUUCUCUCAUCACAUCACUCACAAAUUUUCAUAAGUUUUCUUCACACAUUCACUCUACCAUACUUCAAUCCAAACAACCUCACUUUCUUUACACUUUUAUCCUUACACAUUCAUUCUCUCAAAUCCUCACGCAUCCCCACCCAAAUCCAAACACACCCCAAGCCCCUGUUUGGAUUGGGGGGUGGCACUGUAGCCGUAGACGGAUGUGGAGUGCCACCCCCGUUUGGAUCUGGUCAUGGUUGAGGGUGUGGGUGAGGGUGAGGUGAAAGUUAGGCCAAAUGAGAGAGCAUUCAGAAGUGAAGAGAAAGGAGAGGGUGAGGGAGUGAGUGCCAUGUAGGAUGGAGUGAAAUAUCAUUUGUGCCCUCACUUUAUUUUUGGACGUAUGUGGGCAUUGUACGUGAAGCAUGCAUGCGCAUCUGUGAAGACAAGCUUUUCAGCAGCAAAUGAGAUUCCUGAACAAGUCAGGAAUCUGUUUGACCAAGUUCAAAGCUCAAUAAAUGCAUAGGCAAGUUGGUGAGAGAGGGUAAUAAAGAGCUCCAACAAUAUAUAUGUGGUUCCCAAGCUCACAAAUCUCACAAACCUCACAAAGCAGAGACAAUUCGGUUGUUCACAAAGCACAUACAUAGAGAGCUUGGAGAGGGUCGUGAGUGCGCUUGAUUCUUCGUUUGUGACCUCAGGUGAGCUGUGUGUGAGUUUGGUUUCAUUCUUAAUCGAUUAUCACUGAAAAUGAGUGUAUGCCAUAAUCGAUUAUGUGGAAAAAAAUAGUUCAUAAUCGAUUAUGUUCAUCACAUAAUCGAUUAUGUGUAAAAAAUUUCCGUGAGAUAAUCGAUUAUGGUCGUUUUUGCACUAGAAGCAUAAUCGAUUAUGUGCCAUAAAGAUUUGGAUAAUCGAUUAUGUCCUAUUUUGCACUAGGGUGAUAAUCGAUUAUGGUUCUAAUUUUCCAUAUUUAUGAUUUUAUGUUUUUUGAACUAAUUUUUUAAUGAUUUUUUUUCCAUACACAGUUUGAUCAAUCUUAGACUUGCAUUGUGUUGCGGUUUUGUUAUGCUCUCUUGAGAUAUGUGUUUUUUUUUUGGAUGUUUAGUUUUAUUUUGAAUUUAAUCUGUUUAAAUUAUUUUAAAGUAGUUGUUAAUGAGUUUUUAAUUUUAGAUGUGAAUGUUUAAGAAAAUUGAUUAUAUAAGAUUGUACAUUGUUAAUUGUUAAUGUAAAAAUUUCAUGAAAUUUGAAUAUGUUAUUUUUGUGAUAUGAAUUGAAUUGAAUUGAAUUUAUAGAUUGAAAUUAGAGAUCAAUAUGUUAUUUUAAAAUAUUAUUAUUAAAAAGAUUAUAAAAAUUGUUGCAGUAAUUUAAAAACAGAAAAACCAAAUAUACAAAAGAUUUUUUUGACAAUAAUGCUAGGAUGGAAUCAUUACUUUGGGAAAAAGAGUAUGACAAAAUUAAAUAUAUUCCAGGUCAAUGGCGUAUGGCAACUUGGUAGGUCUCAUCAUGCACACGAGGAAGAUGAUGAAGAGGAUGAAUUGCCAGCACAAGAUGUUGAAGGUGGUUAACCUGAGGCGCCAAUCCCCAAUCAAACCGAAUUGUUAACCCAAAUUUUGUCCGGAUACAAAACAUGAAUACCCGCAUUGACAGGGUUGAUCAAAGGAUGGACCGAAUUGAGGAUACUCUGAAUGACAUUCGAUGUCAUCAAGGCCAUUGAUUGUGUUAUCAUUAUGUGAUUGUCAUUGUUAUUUUUAUUUCUAAUUUUCAUUUUGAACAUUAAUGAAUUGUUAUUGUUAUUUAAUAUUAAGGUUUUAUGCUACUUAUUUACAUAGUCAUAUUGUUUUGAAUGCAACUUUUUUACCAUUUUAU
Molecule: long non-coding RNA, 1845 nt
Filed under: Phaseolus vulgaris (common bean)
Lineage: Eukaryota; Viridiplantae; Streptophyta; Magnoliopsida; Fabales; Fabaceae
Description: long non-coding RNA (PVUL_LNC004073)
Source: RNAcentral